AACGCUAGCUACAGGCUUAACACAUGCAAGUCGAGGGGCAGCACAGUGUAGCAAUACACGGGUGGCGACCGGCGCACGGGUGCGUAACGCGUAUCCAACCUUCCCGUUACUCUUGGAUAGCCUUCCGAAAGGGAGAUUAAUACAAGAUGGUAUUCAAAUACCGCAUGUUAUUUGAAUUAAAGAUUUAUCGGUAACGGAUGGGGAUGCGUGACAUUAGAUAGUAGGCGGGGUAACGGCCCACCUAGUCUACGAUGUCUAGGGGUUCUGAGAGGAAGGUCCCCCACACUGGAACUGAGACACGGUCCAGACUCCUACGGGAGGCAGCAGUGAGGAAUAUUGGUCAAUGGUCGGAAGACUGAACCAGCCAAGUAGCGUGAAGGAUGAAGGUUCUAUGGAUUGUAAACUUCUUUUAUACGGGAAUAAAACCUCCCACGUGUGGGAGCUUGUAUGUACCGUAUGAAUAAGCAUCGGCUAACUCCGUGCCAGCAGCCGCGGUAAUACGGAGGAUGCGAGCGUUAUCCGGAUUUAUUGGGUUUAAAGGGAGCGUAGACGGGAUGUUAAGUCAGUUGUGAAAGGCUGCGGCUCAACCGCAGCACUGCAGUUGAUACUGGUGUCCUUGAGUGCGGUUGAGGUAUGUGGAAUUCGUGGUGUAGCGGCGAAAUGCUUAGAUAUCACGAAGAACUCCGAUUG
RNAcentral lists this ribosomal RNA (690 nucleotides) under uncultured bacterium. RNAcentral describes it as "bacterial SSU rRNA". It matches the Rfam family "Bacterial small subunit ribosomal RNA", at positions 32 to 715 of the family's 1533-position model. The record is from RNAcentral.